This 253-nucleotide ribosomal RNA is filed under the name uncultured bacterium. RNAcentral describes it as "partial 16S ribosomal RNA". It matches the Rfam family "Bacterial small subunit ribosomal RNA", at positions 524 to 776 of the family's 1533-position model. The record is from RNAcentral.
UACGUAGGCAGCGAGCGUUGUUCGGAGUUACUGGGCGUAAAGCGUGCGUAGGCGGUGCUCCAAGUCUGUUGUGAAAUCUCCCGGCUUAACUGGGAGGGUGCGGCGGAAACUGGGGUGCUGGAGUGCGGGAGAGGUAAGCGGAAUUCCCGGUGUAGCGGUGAAAUGCGUAGAUAUCUGGAGGAAUACCGGUGGCGAAGGCGGCAUCCUGGACCGGCAUUGACGCUGAUGAGCGAAAGCUAGGGGAGCAAACGGG